This 304-nucleotide long non-coding RNA is filed under the name Physcomitrium patens. RNAcentral describes it as "long non-coding RNA (PPAT_LNC014676)". The record is from RNAcentral. Lineage: Eukaryota; Viridiplantae; Streptophyta; Bryopsida; Funariales; Funariaceae.
GAUUUGAUUUAGGAUUUAGGGUUUGAUUAGGGUUUGGUUAGGAUUUAGGAUUUGAUUAGGAUUAAGAUUUGAUUUAGGAUUUAAGAUUUUAUUAGGAUUUGGUUUAGGAUUUAGAGUUUGAUUAUGGUUUGAUUUAGGAUUUAUUUAGGUUUUAAGAUUUAGUUAGUUUUUGGCCUAAAAGUUUGAAUGAAGUCCAAAAGGAUUUUAACUAGGAUUAAAUUAAGAUUGGAUUUAGAUUUAUUUAGAAUAUAUUUAUGAUCAUUCUAAUAUUUUUUUUAAGAUUUCUUAUUUUUUCUUUGUAAGC